GUCCAAAUUAAAUGAGGCAAUUCGCCGAGCAGAGCGAGGCGAAAAAGUUUUGAGCCCUUUUUUUAGGGGGUUCGAGUGCCUGAAACGGGAGAAGCAUAUUUCAGCAUUACUAUUCAUAAUAAAAAAAAAAAAAAAAAAAUAUAACAGAAAUGCGGGGCUUUUUUUAUUAGCUAGCCUAGUAAGUAACAGAACAAAUUUUAAAAGUUAAUCUCUGUUAGUCAACCAAAACUUUCCGAUUCUCCUGUGACCAGUACUAUUGAAAAGCUUCAACACACGUUCUUAUGUAUAUAUAUAUAAAUAUAUAUUUAUGUCCAACAGCAAGUUAUAAGCUUUCUAAAAGACGAGAACAUGUUAUAAGCAGCAAUUAGGAUAUAUUUAUUGUACAUAAUCAUUAACCAUAAGAAUAGGUACAGAGAAGACUAGACCAACAUUGUUAC
This 437-nucleotide long non-coding RNA is filed under the name Mytilus galloprovincialis (Mediterranean mussel). The record is from RNAcentral. Lineage: Eukaryota; Metazoa; Mollusca; Bivalvia; Mytilida; Mytilidae.